RNAcentral lists this transfer RNA (73 nucleotides) under Chloroflexota bacterium. RNAcentral describes it as "Chloroflexi bacterium tRNA-Lys". It matches the Rfam family "tRNA". Rfam says of the family: Transfer RNA (tRNA) molecules are approximately 80 nucleotides in length. The record is from RNAcentral. Lineage: Bacteria; Bacillati; Chloroflexota.
GAGCCGUUAGCUCAGUUGGUAGAGCAAUUGCCUUUUAAGCAAUGGGUCCUGGGUUCGAGUCCCAGACGGCUCA